CCUACGGGUGGCUGCAGUGAGGAAUAUUGGUCAAUGGGCGGGAGACUGAACCAACCAAGUCGCGUGAGGGAGGAAGGUACAAAGGAUUGUAAACCUCUUUUGUCAGGGAGCAAAGGCGGGGACGUGUGCCGGGAUGAGUGUACCUGAAGAAAAAGCAUCGGCAAACUCCGUGCAAGAAGGCGCGGUAAUACGGAGGAUGCGAGCGUUAUCCGGAUGUAUUGGGUUGAAAGGGGGCGUAGGCGGCAGAGUAAGUCCGCGGGCAAAGUCAGGGGCUCAACCCCGGCGCGCCGUUGCAACUGGCAGUCUUGAGUUGGUGAGAAGUAUGCGGAAUGCGCGGUGUAGCUGU
This 346-nucleotide ribosomal RNA is filed under the name uncultured bacterium. RNAcentral describes it as "partial 16S ribosomal RNA". It matches the Rfam family "Bacterial small subunit ribosomal RNA", at positions 338 to 682 of the family's 1533-position model. The record is from RNAcentral.